Molecule: ribosomal RNA, 258 nt
Filed under: uncultured bacterium
Lineage: Bacteria
Description: partial 16S ribosomal RNA
Rfam family: Bacterial small subunit ribosomal RNA
Source: RNAcentral
UGGCGGACGGGUGAGUAACGCGUGGAUAACCUGCCUCAUACAGGGGGAUAACAGUUGGAAACGGCUGUUAAUACCGCAUAAGCGCACGAAAUCGCAUGGUUUUGUGUGAAAAACUCCGGUGGUAUGAGAUGGGUCCGCGUCUGAUUAGCUAGUUGGCAGGGUAACGGCCUACCAAGGCGACGAUCAGUAGCCGGCCUGAGAGGGUGUACGGCCACAUUGGGACUGAGACACGGCCCAAACUCCUACGGAAGGCAGCAG